Molecule: ribosomal RNA, 564 nt
Filed under: uncultured bacterium
Lineage: Bacteria
Description: bacterial SSU rRNA
Rfam family: Bacterial small subunit ribosomal RNA
Source: RNAcentral
CCUACGGGAGGCAGCAGUGAGGAAUAUUGGGCAAUGGGCGAAAGCCUGACCCAGCAACGCCGCGUGAGGGAUGAAGGCCUUCGGGUUGUAAACCUCUUUUCUGGGAGAAGAGACAAGGACGGUAUCCCAGGAAUAAGUCUCGGCUAACUACGUGCCAGCAGCCGCGGUAAUACGUAGGAGGCUAGCGUUAUCCGGAUUCACUGGGCGUAAAGCGCACGCAGGCGGUCAUGUAAGUCAGACGUGAAAGCUCCUGGCUCAACUGGGAGAGGUCGUUUGAUACUGCAUGGCUUGAGGUUGGGAGAGGGAAGCGGAAUUCCCGGUGUAGUGGUGGAAUGCGUAGAUAUCGGGAGGAACACCAGUGGCGAAAGCGGCUUCCUGGCCCAUACCUGACGCUCAGGUGCGAAAGCGUGGGGAGCGAACGGGAUUAGAUACCCCGGUAGUCCACGCUGUAAACGAUGCGAACUAGGUGUUGGUAGUAUUAAUCCUAUCAGUGCCGUAGCUAACGCGAUAAGUUCGCCGCCUGGGGACUACGGCCGCAAGGCUAAAACGUAAAGGAAUUGACGG